RNAcentral lists this ribosomal RNA (114 nucleotides) under Bacteroidota bacterium. Lineage: Bacteria; Pseudomonadati; Bacteroidota. The record is from RNAcentral.
AAGGGUGGCAAUAGCGAAGGGGAUCACCUCUUACCAUUCCGAACAGAGAAGUUAAGCCCUUCAGCGCCGAUGGUACUGCCUUGUAUGAGGUGGGAGAGUAGGUCGCCGCCUGUU